UUUAAAAGGAAAUUUAUAUGUGUGUACCAGGCAACGAACACAACAAUGGCACUACUGUAUGUGGAAUAAGAAUGCAUAUGUGUAGAUUACAUUCAGAAGGUUGAGUGGUUGUUGUUCGCGUACCUAGGGCUCAAAUAACUAUCCCCCAAAGUGUCGUCUUAUUUUCUGUCAUAAGUGUUUCCAGCCUGCUACACACCCCAGGCCGAAACCACAAACUACAAGAUGGAUGAUCUCACAACAAUGGCACUACUGUAUUUGAAAUAAGAAUGCAUAUGUGUACAUUACAUUCAGAAGGUUGAGUGGUUGUUGUUCGCGUACCUAGGGUUCAAAGAACUAUCCCCAAAGUGUCGUCUUAUUUUCUGUCGUAAGUGUUUCCAGCCUGCUACACACCCCAGGCCGAAACCACAAACUACAAGAUGGAUAACCACGUGUAAAGUGUGCAUCAUGCUUUUUCAUUGCACAAUAUUUUUAUGUUUUCUUCCUUCCUUCUGUGCUAGAAUUAUUUUUGUUCUACUAAGCGAGGCAUGUAUUUAGUCUGUAAUUUUUAACACUUAAAUUACGUGGCUAUAUAUUUUAUUCCUGUUAACUCAGUAUUUUUAGGGUCUGUCAACUCCAUUUGUUUACUGUGUGGCCUAAAAAUUUAUAGGUAUCGUCAGCGUGUUGUAAUAUAUCUUGGUCUAUACUUAGGUAUAUAUUUUUAUGUUGGUGUACUGAUAUACGAAGGCAAAAAUGUAACCACUUAAGAAUGAAGGUUAA
RNAcentral lists this long non-coding RNA (756 nucleotides) under Hordeum vulgare. RNAcentral's name for it is "long non-coding RNA (HVUL_LNC006268)". The record is from RNAcentral. Lineage: Eukaryota; Viridiplantae; Streptophyta; Magnoliopsida; Poales; Poaceae.